Dreissena polymorpha is the source of this 2177-nucleotide long non-coding RNA. RefSeq lists it as uncharacterized. The transcript is spliced from 3 exons. Lineage: Eukaryota; Metazoa; Mollusca; Bivalvia; Myida; Dreissenidae. The record is from RefSeq and is a predicted model, not a curated record.
CUCAGAGAAAUGAUAAGUUCACACGUGCAUUUUGUUUGUUUGAAUUUUGUUUGGCGUAAUCAGCAGUAUUUUAGUCAUAUCACAGCGAUGAGAACAUACAGACAUUUAUGUUUACACGCUGGUCAUUCAGAUACUUCGAUAUAGCGAUGGCACUUCGAUAACAGAGAAAAAAAGCUGCGCGCGAGAGUUUAAAGGAAGGACCACGUGCGCCGAAUGGAGGAUGGACGCCUACCAAAGGACGUCAUGUACGGCCAGCUCGCAACUGGCACUCGACCCGUGGGUCGGCCAGUCCUGAGGUACAAGGGUGACUGCAAGGGGGACUUCAAAGACUGCGGCGUCGCAACAGACACCUGGGAGACUUUGGCCGAGAAUCACAUGGCUUGGAGACAGUCAAUACAUAAAGGAAUCGAGGCAGCCGACGCAAGCAGUUCUGAGCUUGCAACUCGAAAGAGAAGCAUGCGGAAAGCCCGCGCCGCAAUUCCCCGACUGCAAGCCUUGUUGCGUGCAUAUUGUACAACACGGACUGCCAUUCCCGCAUUGGCCUGCUUAGCCACAGCAGGCGUUGCUCCCAGAAGUGACAAACAGAGCGCAUCAGCAUAGUCUCCCGAGACUCAGCUCUGUCAACUCAACUAAGUGCAUGCGUUUGUUACUGAUGUGUGUCGUGGACUUCUUUCAUUUUGAAAGAGUGCAUCUGCAGUAUCUGUGAAAAUCUAGCAACUAAAAUCUAUGCAUGCGUUUUGUACCACAAUAUCCUAUAUUUUAAUGUGUUGACUCAAUGAAAUGUUUGUGUUAAUAAUUUAAAUAUAUUGUAUUUUCAGUAAGGGUUUAUUUUCAGUUAUAAAUUACAGGUGAUUGAAUGACUUUCUUGUCAUUUUUUAAAAUCAACGGUCAAUAAAAAGAAAAAUAGUUAAACGAUUACACUCAUUAAAUAGACGAACCGUCAGUAAGUUCAUUUGAUUUCUGGAAACUGUCAUUAGUUUACAUGUACAAUCACAACAACCGCUUGACAUUCAAAUCGUUUAUACAAUGUAUUUUAUUAGAGGAAGAGGGGUGGAGAGCAGAUAUAAUCUAAUAAAGUUAUGUGGCAGGGCCGGCAACGGAAACCGCGAUCUUCAGAUUUUUAGUCCACCGCUUUCCCAUCUGAACAAGCCGGUGACGAAAGGAAGGUACCCAAGAAUAAGAUUUAUUAUGUGUGUUAUUUCUUUAUUUGAUAACCGACAGCAUAUAUGCAGUAAAUUCCCUAAAAUUAUGCAUUUUAGUAAAGUAUUCAUGUUCCAUCUUUUGAGGCACAUGUUUUUAUACUACACAUUUUAUAUAGAUGAAAUUGUUAGGAACAUAUUAAUACAACAGCACCACUUUUUCUGCAAUACACGCCUUCAGUUGGCUUCGAGCUCCCCUUCUUCAAUGAUGAUGUUACUACUCGACAAAGGGAUUUAAUAUCAACAGUUCGCAACCGAAUAGCCGUACAUUAUUGGCGUCGCACUGAAGUGCGGCGACUCGUAUGUAAUACGUUUGUUUUUCGCUUAUGGGAGGAGAAGUUGUUUUACGGAUCAAUGUAUAUAUUUUUGCUGUCAGAAUAUCUUGCAUAGUGGUGAUUUUUUGUGUAAAUUAGUGUAAAUAAGUACUGCAUUUGUGCCUAUUACAUUUACUACAACAUUUAUUGCCAAUAAUGCAAAGCUAAUUCUUUUAAUUAAUAACUGAUCACAUGGACUGGGCAAUAAUAAAAGAUCACAAGGACUUGGCAAAUACGCGAACCGUUGAAACUUUCUGGUUUUGUAUAAAAACAAAACAUAAUCAAAAUAUACUUAUUUUGUGGUUUUUCUAACAAUAGCGCAGACUUUUGCUGUUCGAGUUUUGGUUAACGCGUAUUUUCUUCAAUUUUACAAGACGACAGCCAUAACACGGUUUAUUGCUUUAUUGAUAACCGUUACACUACAGUCACUUAUUAAUAUCUUAGUUAGAAGGUGAUUUUUCAAGCGGUUCCGUAGUGUAGUGGUUAUACGCUCGCUUCACAUGUGAGAGGCCCAAGGUUCGAGCCCCAGUAGAAUCAAAUUAUUUUAUUUGUGUUCUAUGUUAACUUUUUGUUUUGAUGUAGACAUUUUAGUUUAAAUAAAUAUGCUGUUUUAUUGUAACCAUUUUUUGUUUUUAUUAUGCCCAUGAAAUAUAUGUGUGAGAGG